GUAGAUAUAGUUUAAACAAAACAUUAGAUUGUGGUUCUAAAGAUAGGAGUUAAAGCCCCCUUAUCCACC
RNAcentral lists this transfer RNA (69 nucleotides) under Phyllopteryx taeniolatus (common seadragon). RNAcentral's name for it is "tRNA-His". It matches the Rfam family "tRNA". Rfam says of the family: Transfer RNA (tRNA) molecules are approximately 80 nucleotides in length. Their secondary structure includes four short double-helical elements and three loops (D, anti-codon, and T loops). The record is from RNAcentral. Lineage: Eukaryota; Metazoa; Chordata; Actinopteri; Syngnathiformes; Syngnathidae.